This 4161-nucleotide long non-coding RNA is filed under the name Diabrotica virgifera virgifera (western corn rootworm). RNAcentral's name for it is "uncharacterized LOC126883254". The record is from RNAcentral. Lineage: Eukaryota; Metazoa; Arthropoda; Insecta; Coleoptera; Chrysomelidae.
CUGAUAUCCCUGCCCUGCAGUAGCUUGCAAAAAAGAAGAUUAGUAGAAAAAGAAGAAGACCUAGUUUGCAAAAGCAAGGUUAGGUUAGAAGUGUUGAGUCUUGAGUUAUGUCGUGUCUUUGUUCUUUUUGGAUUUAUGAUUAUUUACUUGCUAGAAAAAAAGCUCUUACGGCUGAAACUACUAGUGACCUUAAUACAGAUACAGAGGCGGGUAAUAAAAACGUAGAAAGAAGAAAAUUAUAUCCUCUUCUUCUGAAUCUGAUGAAAAUGAUGAACCUACGGAACAUGCAUCAAAUAGGAAGCAAUUUAAAGUUACUAAAAUGCCUACCCCACCAAUUUGGACCAACGACAUGGCUGAAAUGGUAGACGAGUCAACUGUUUCGAACACACCAAGUCAAACAGGCAAUAGUUCUACCCCCUGCUUUACCCCUGGUCAAGUUCAUCAUGAUCGUAACAUGGGUCCAGGUUCGAAAAGCAAUUACACCAUACCAAAAAGGGCCUUGAAGGAAAUACAUGAGAAUUUGAAUAAUGUUGUUGCUACAUCACAAAGCACGAGCUGCUGUUGCAAUCCACAACUACUCUAUAAUAUACAAUCAUUACUGAUUGAAAUUAACUCUAAAGUCGGAAAUUGUUGUCAGCGAAAUAUGCAAACUAAUGAAGAGUCUACAAAUAAUAUAUUGCAAAAAUCUGCAAGUUUAAAAUGGAAACAAAUGAGGAUCUGGAACUUUUUGAGAAUUUUUUCUCCAGUCCUGAAAAUUAUUCGGCAUUGAUUUUAUUUUUUUCCAAACUUGGUGGUAACAAUAUAUACGAAUUCAUUAGGCGUUGCAUCGGGCCACUUGUAACUGAUGGCCUGGCCGAACAAUUUUCCUUUACAGGAAGGAAAGGAAAACUGGUUUUUGAAAAAUUAAAUCUAGCUAAAUCUGUACUAGAAGCUGGGCAAAAGGCACAUUGGAUCAAUGGGAUCACCAGAAAGGAGAUGAAAAAAAAAAAUUGGCGAUUGGCUACGAAGAGCCAAAGAAAGAAGAUUAAGAACAGAGAAAUUGAAUGUAUAAACAUCUUAUGUAACAUUUUUUACUAGGUAUCGGGAAAUAAAACAUUGUUAAACAAAUCAUAGCAUUGUGUAUCAGUUGCUAUACAGGGUGUAUCAACGAUGUGUGGGUGAGCGAUAGGUGCUUCCCUAUUUGAGAUAGGAAAAAAGCCUUAAAUAAAAGUUGUGGAGAUCAGUGAAAUCUAUGUUACAAAAAUAUUUACCCUUAUACAGGGUGUUGGAUAAAUGUGUGACUUAUCAAAGAUAUGUUUUUUUAAAUGGAACACCCUAUAUAUUUUUACUUUAAAAUCUUUUUAAUGAGUUGAUUUCAAUGGUACUUCACACUUACUAUCUAUUGUGAUUAGUUGAGGAUCUACAGCUACUGGAAAUUGUCAAUUUUUCAAAUUCAGGUAGCUGUAGUAGCUAAACCAGUAAAAAUUUUUAAAAACGGCUUUCAUGUCCCUUUCCUAACUUUUCAAGUUCUAUUGAGUGACAUGAAAAAUUAUUUAAUACAGGGUUAUCAAAAAUCGUGUAGGAUUUCGGAUUUUUGAUUUUUCGUGUCGCUUAAUAGAACUUGAAAAGUUAGGAUAGGGACAUGAAAGCCAUUUUUCGAAAUUUUGGACUGUUUAGCUCCUACAGCCACCUGAAUUUGAAAAAUUGACCAUUUCCAGUGGCUGUAGGUCCUCAACUAAUCACAAUAGAUAGAAGUGUGAAGUACCAUUGAAAUCAGCUCAUUGAAAAGAUUUUAAAAAUAUAAAGAUAUAUAGGGUGUUCUAUUUAAAAAAACAUAUCUUUGAUAAGUCACACCUUUAUCCAACACCCUGUAUGAGGGUAAAUAUUUUUGUAACAUAGAUUUCAGUGAUCUCUACAAACUUUUAUUUAAGACAUUUUUUCCUAUCUCAAAUAGGGAAGCACUUAUCGCCCACCCACACAUCGUUGAUACACCCUGUAUGUACUUGCGUUUACCAAUGCUUUAUACAGGGUAUUCAUUUCAAAACUAGACAGUUCAAAUAUAUUUUGAUUGUAGUAAAAUGUAAAAAAAUUAAAAAAAACACGUCAAAUUUUAUAUCAAGGGGGACACUUUUUUUUUCAUAAUUGCAGCAUCGAUACUUCAACCCUCGAGCAGUAGAGUGAACUCCUGAAAUUUAUAUAGGGAAAGUACCAAGUGUGCCAUAUUUUUGAAAAGGUAAUUAUAUGAGGAAUUCAGCAAUACCAAUAUUGUUGUGUCAAAUUCCGAUUUUAGCGCCCUCUUGAGGAAAAAAUAAUCGUUACGUAAUUCAAAUUGUGACACCUCAUUCGAAAGCUAUUUCUAUUGCUAAUUAAAUGCAAUAAAUAAUAUUAUCCUGAAAUCAUAUUUCAUAAGUGAAAUCACCUAAAAUAACAGACUUAGUAGGAUCACACUUUCCAAUCUCAUUUGAUUUCAAUUAUUAAAUAUGAAUUCAGGAUAAUUUUAUUUAUUGCAUUUAAUUAGCAAUAAAAAUAGCUUUCAAAUGAGGUGUCACAAUUUAAAUUACGUAACGAUUAUUUUUUCCCCAAGAGGGCGCUAAAAUCGGAAUUUGACACAACAAUAUUGGUAUUGCUGAAUUCCCCAUAUAAUUACAUUUUCAAAAAUGCGGCACACUUGGUACUUUCCCUAAAUUUCAGGGGUUGUUCACUUCACUGUUCGAAGGUUGAAGUAUCGAUGCUGCAAUUGCGAAUAAAAAGUGUCCCCCUGGAUAUAAAAUUUGAUGUGUUUUUUAUCUUUUUUUUACAUUUUACUACAAUCAAAAGAUAUUUGAACUGUCUAGUUUUGAAAUGAAGACCCUGUAUAAUACAUUUCCGAUACCUAGAAGAAAAUAUGUGGCUUAAAGAAAAUAUUAUUAGUUUUUAAAUAAAUAGCUCUUUUAUUAAGAAAUAUUGAAUUGUUUUAUUUGCUCGUAUAGCGAAGUCACUUCCAGGGUAUUUUUAGAAACGUUUCCGAGAUGUUCUAAACAAAGUACCCCGAAUGUACCUAGUAUAUCCUAUUUCAUCUUAGAAACAUCCUACCGAGAUGUUUGUAGAAUGUUGAAAAUGAUGACAUGGCUGUUGCCACAAACAUCCUAGGGAUGUUUCGAGGGAAAUGAGGAUGUUGUUAGUAUGUUUCUAUUGUCCCAGAAGGAUGUUUCUGGAAUAUUUCUGUCAUGUUUCUGUGUUAUCUGGGUAAGAGAUACAACAUUACUUAUAACAUACCAGACAAACUAAGUGACAUUUUAGGCCUACAGUGCAAUAAUAUGUCAAAUUUAAAGAGUUUCCCAAGUUCAAUUAAUACAAUAUUAUAAACAUACAAAUGUAAUAAAAAUUAUUGUUCGCGAAUAUUCAAUUUGGAAUGCGAUUUUGUUAAUAAAAAAAAUACUUAUAACUUAUGCAAAACCCAAGAGAGGCAUUUAUAUUUAUUUCUUUUGCGUUCAUUUUCAAAUUCGCCGUGCAUAUAUUUUUGUGCAUGGCGCUUGAGAGGGCAUCACGUGACUAAAAACGACCAACCAACGACCUCGCUUCGGCCAUCUUGGCAUCUUCAUCUUGGCGACUGGCGACCUUGCCCGGCCUUGCCUUGCCGUGGAUUGUUUGUAUUAUUUGUGCUUUUUAAGAAUAUUUUUUUAAUUCGGAUACUUUUAUAAUAGCUUUAAUAGUAUUAUUAACAUAGUGCAUAAAAUGGUGUCCUGUUUUUAACGCAGUUGGAGUAGCAGAAACAAAUGUAGAUAAAAAAAUCUGCAGGAAUAACGUUUCAAUUAUGACAGAAGCUCAAAACAAAUGACUGUGAAUGAACAGCCCUAUUAAAAGCUUUCCAGAAGAUCCUGCGAAGAAGACAUGAAGUAUAGAUCAGAUUUGUUAAUAGAGGAGUAUGUUCAAAACACUUUCUAGAAAAAGAUAUUGACAGAACUUCACUUUCAUCUGUUCGUUUGAGAGACUGUGCUGUUCCAAUAGCUUAUGUCACACAGAAUCAGCUGAGAGAAGUGGUCUACAAAAAACCAGAAAGGAAACAGAAUAUGUGGCUACGAAAAGCAAAAGAAAGGUUUACAAAGCAAAUGUGACACAUUUUUUUAUAAUAUUUAGGAAUGUCAGCAAAUUACAUUAAAAAAUGUAUGUAAAGAUUUUUUGCAAUAAAAAUGUUUAUAUUUA